Molecule: RNA transcript, 5076 nt
Organism: Eublepharis macularius
Lineage: Eukaryota; Metazoa; Chordata; Lepidosauria; Squamata; Eublepharidae
Gene name: deleted in malignant brain tumors 1 protein-like
Exons: 15
Source: RefSeq, a predicted model, not a curated record
UUUCCCUUCUUGGGUGGGACAUUUGGAAAGAAGGCUGCCAGAAAUGGCUGUGACCCUUCUUCUAGCCUUUCUCUGGGGUGUGGUUUGGAGCUCAGAUCUCACAGACCUAAACACAGGUGAGAUCAGACUAGUGAACGGUUCAAGUUGCUGCAGCGGAAGAGUGGAAGUGCUCUAUAAUGGAACAUGGGGCACUGUUUGUGAUGAUAACUGGGAAAUGGAGGAUGCCAGAGUUGUGUGUCAGCAACUGGGCUGUCCAUUUGCAAUAUCAGCCCCACAUGGAGCACAUUUUGGAAGAGGAACUGACCCAAUCUGGCUGGAUGAGGUCAAGUGUAAAGGUUCAGAAUCAGCACUCAGUCAGUGCCCAGCAAGGCCUUGGGGAGAACAUGACUGCAACCAUGGAGAAGAUGCUGGUGUCAUAUGCUCAGAGGUAAGGCUGGUGAAUGGUCCAGCUCCCUGUGCUGGCCGGGUCGAGGUGCUCCGUAACAAAGAAUGGGGAACAGUGUGUGAAAAUGGCUGGGACAUGAACGAAGCCCAUGUUGUGUGCCAGGAAGUGGGCUGUGGAAAAGCUUUAGCAGCACCAGGUGGAGCCAAGUUUGGACAAGGAUCUGGUUCCAUUUGGAUGGACGAGGUCAACUGCACGGGAUCCGAAGACAGUCUAAGCGAAUGCCCAGCAACCCCCUUGGCAGUACACAGCUGUGACCACAGCAAAGAUGCAAGUGUGGAGUGUGCAGAAAUACCUGAGAUCAGAUUAGUGAAUGGCCACAGUCGCUGUUCUGGGAGAGUUGAGAUAUUCCAUGAGAAACGAUGGGGAACUGUAUGUGAUGGUGACUGGGACCUUGAAGACGCCAAGGUUGUGUGUCGUUACCUUGAAUGUGGAAGUGCUUUAUCAGCCCCACAAGGCUCUCAUUUUGGUGAAGGAUCUGGUCCCAUUUGGCUAGAUGGUGUUAGCUGCACAGGGACAGAGAACGCUAUUAGCAAAUGCCCUGCAAAAGUGUGGGGGAAUAGUAACUGUUCCCACAAAGAAGAUGCUGGUGUUGUAUGUGGAGAGGUCCGUCUAACGAAUGGCUCAAAUCGCUGCUCUGGCAGAGUUGAAGUGUAUCACAAUGAACAGUGGGGGACUGUUUGUGAUGAAGGAUGGGAUCUAUGGGAGUCUGAAGUUGUCUGCCAAGAACUGGAGUGUGGAAAGGCCUUAUCAGCACUGGGUGGAGCACACUAUGGCCAAGGAUCUGGUACCAUCUGGCCGGACAGAGUUAACUGCAGAGGAAAUGAAACAGCCCUCCGAGAAUGCCCCAAAAGUCCCUGGAGAGAUCUCGACUGUGACCACACAAGAGAUGCAAGUGUGGAGUGCUCAAAUCACAUCAGAUUAGUGAACGGUUCAGAUCGUUGUUCUGGAAGAGUGGAGGUGUUCCACAAUGGGCACUGGGGGACUGUGUGUGAUGAUGACUGGGAUAUCAAUGAUGCCCAAGUUGUGUGCUGGGAACUUGAUUGUGGAGUAGCCCUGGAAGCUCCACAAGGAGCUCACUUUGGAAAGGGAACAGACCACAUUUGGCUGGAUAAUGUCAACUGUAAAGGGACAGAAGCGACCCUCAAAGACUGCCAGUUUGAAGGCUGGGGAGAACAUAAUUGCAACCAUAAAGAAGAUGCUGGUGUGAUUUGCUCAGCCCUCAGACUGGUGAAUGGCUCAAGUCGCUGCUCCGGGAGAGUGGAGAUAUUCCACAAUCAUCAGUGGGGGACCAUAUGUGAUGACGACUGGAGCAUGAAAGAAGCUGAAGUUGUCUGCAGAGAAAGAGGCUGUAGUGCUGCUUUAAAAGCCCAUACAAAGGCUUGGUUUGGACAAGGAUCAGGACCCAUCUGGCAAGAUGAUGUUAACUGUGUUGGAACAGAAACUUCCCUCAGUGAAUGCAUAGUGGGCCCUUGGGGUCCCAAAAACUGUCACCAUGGAGAAGAUGUUGGUGUGGAGUGUACAGAAAUCAGGUUAGUGAAUGGCCCCAAUCGCUGUUCUGGGAGAGUUGAGAUACUCCAUGAGAAACGAUGGGGAACUAUCUGUGAUGAUAACUGGGACCUUGAAGAUGCCAACGUUGUGUGCCGUCAUCUUGGCUGUGGAGCUGCUUUAUCAGCCCCACGAGUCUCUUAUUUUGGAGAUGGAUCAGGUCCCAUAUGGCUAGAUGAAGUUAACUGCACAGGGCAAGAAAACUCCAUAAGCAGUUGCCCUGCAGGGCAGUGGAGGAAGCAUGAUUGUUCCCACCAUGAAGAUGCUGGUGUAGUAUGUGGAGACAUCCGUCUAAUGAAUGGCUCAAAUCGCUGUUCUGGGAGGAUCGAAGUGUUUCACAAUGAGCAGUGGGGAACCAUUUGUGAUAAUGGAUGGGAUAUACAAAAUGCCCAAGUUGUGUGCCGAGAGCUGAAGUGCGGAGAUGCCUUAUCAACAUUUGGUGGAGCAUAUUAUGGUCCAGGACUGGGAACCAUCUGGCUGGACAGAGUUGACUGCACAGGAAAUGGAACAGCCCUUGGAGAAUGCCCAAAAGGUCCUUGGGGGGAGCAUACUUGUGACCACAGGAGGGAUGCAAGUGUGGAGUGCUUAGACCCAAGGGAGAUCAGAUUGGUGAAUGGUUCGAACAGUUGCUCUGGGAGAGUUGAGGUGCUCCACAAUGACCAGUGGGGGACUGUUUGUGAUGAAGAAUGGAACAUCUACAGUGCCCAAGUCGUGUGCAGAGAACUUGGCUGUGGAAAAGCAGUAUCAGCCCCCAAAGGAGCUCACUUUGGAGAGGGGAGUGGUCGCAUCUGGCUGGGUUUUGUCUAUUGUUAUGGGACAGAAUCUUCCCUCAAGGACUGCCGGAAAAACCGUUGGGGAGACCAUAACUGUAACCACCAAGAAGAUGUUGGUAUGGUGUGCUCAACUAUCCGGCUAAUAAAUGGCUCUAAUGACUGCUCAGGAAGGGUCGAAGUGUAUCACAAUGAGCAGUGGGGAACUAUUUGUGAUAAUGGCUGGGAUAUACAAGAUGCCCAAGUUGUGUGCCAAGAGCUGAACUGUGGAGAUGCCUUAUCAGCAUUUGGUGGAGCACACUAUGGCCCAGGAUCGGGAACCAUCUGGCUGGACAGAGUUGACUGCACAGGAAAUGAAAUGGCCCUUGGAGAAUGCCCAAAAAGUCCCUGGGGAGAGCAUACUUGUGAUCAUAGGAGGGAUGCACAUGUGGAGUGCUCAGAUGUAAGAGAGAUCAGAUUGGUGAACAGCUCAAGUAGGUGCUCUGGGAGAGUUGAGGUGCGCUACAGUGGCCAGUGGGGGACUGUGUGUGAUGAUGACUGGAAUAUCAAUAGUGCCCAAGUUGUGUGCAGAGAACUUGGCUGUGGAAAAGCAAUAUCAGCUCCACAUGGAGCACACUUUGGAGAAGGAAAAGAUCCCAUCUGGUUGGACAAUGUGAAAUGUGAUGGGACUGAAGCUGCCCUCAAGGACUGCCGGAAAAAACCUUGGGGAGACCAUAACUGUAAACACCAAGAAGAUGCUGGUGUGGUGUGCUCAGACAUCCGGCUAAUAAAUGGCUCUAAUGACUGCUCAGGAAGGUUGGAAGUGUAUCACAAUGAGCAAUGGGGAACCAUUUGUGAUAAUGGCUGGGAUAUACAAGAUGCCCAAGUUGUGUGCCGAGAGCUGAAGUGUGGAGAUGCCUUAUCAGCAUUACAUGGAGCAUACUAUGGCCAAGGGUCAGGAACCAUCUGGUUGGACAGAAUUAACUGCUCAGGAAAUGAAACGGCCCUCAGAGAAUGCCCAAAAAGUCCCUAGGGAGAGCAUACUUGUGACCACAGGAAGGAUGUGAGUGUGGAGUGCUCAGGCCUAAGGGAGAUCAGAUUGGUGAAUGGUUCCAACAAUUGCUCUGGGAGAGUUGAAGUGCUCCACAAUGACCAGUGGGGGACUGUGUGUGACAAUGACUGGAAUAUGAAGAAUGCCCAAGUCGUGUGCAGAGAACUCGGCUGUGGAAAAGCAGUAUCAGCCCCACAUGGAGCUCACUUUGGAGAGGGGAGUGGUCGCAUUUGGUUGGACAAUGUCAAAUGUGAUGGGACAGAAGCUGCCCUCAAGGACUGCCAGAAAAACCCUUGGGGAGACCAUGACUGUAAACACCAAGCAGAGGCUGGUGUGGUGUGCUCAGGCAUCAUUCAACUGUAGUGAAGCAACUUCGAGGUGAGACAGAACUGGCAACAGUGAAAAGAGAUCAGAAGCAAGUUCCUUACUGCGAUGUUCCCACACAUGGAGUGUGCAAACUUCAAUGAGCCUGAUACAUGCAUGGUGCAGCAGGAAGAAAUGUCCAGCAACAGGAUGAAUCCUACCCCUAUCCUACCAAAGCUUGAAGCCUUCCUUUAGCCUAAGAAGACAUCCUCUAAUUUAAGUUGCCCUUCCUUCAACACAGGAUAGAUCUAGGGGUGUGUACCUCAAACAUUUUUGAAUUAAUUUUGCAUCCAGAUUUCAGGGAGGCCACACUUUUCAUUAUCCUUAAUUUUCAAGUGAGUUUUACCCUAUUGGGAAUAUGUUUCAGGGCCCAAAUGUUUUGAGAUUGUUUUGCAAAUUUUCCCUAUUCCCCUACCAAGAGACAACAGGAGCAGGGAGAAAGAGGAAGCUGUCCAUGAGAGAUUUUGCUUCUCUAGCACCUAUUGGAAACUGUGGCCCCAUUAUUUCCUAUAGGCGGUAGACAUAGCCUCCCAGGCCAGGUCUACCUUUCUCCCCACUCCUUCAGUUCCCCAAAACAUUCUUGAAAUUCCUGAAGAUAAAUUUUCAUCACGCUUAGAAUUUCAGAAGUGUUUUUGGCUGUUUCAAGUAUCCCUAAAGCGACAUAAGACACUCAAUUUUAGGUUUAAUUUUGGCUUAGGUGAAUCCAAAUAAAUCCUGACCUGGAUAGCCCAGGCAAGCUCCAUCUCAUCAGAUCAGAAGCUAAGCUGGGGGACUUCCUGUUUGGGAUCCAUGGAGGUCUAACGCAGCUCCACUUGCGGAGCUGACCGGACUGCCGUUUUAACCGGCCGGCGGGGUGAAAAUAGCCCGCGGCCGACUGCUCUCAGGCGGGGAGCAGGCAAAGAACGCUCAAGACCCUAGGGUGA